This 468-nucleotide ribosomal RNA is filed under the name uncultured bacterium. RNAcentral describes it as "partial 16S ribosomal RNA". It matches the Rfam family "Bacterial small subunit ribosomal RNA", at positions 28 to 507 of the family's 1533-position model. The record is from RNAcentral.
GACGAACGCUGGCGGCGUGCUUAACACAUGCAAGUCGAACGGAAAGGCCCUGCUUUUGUGGGGUGCUCGAGUGGCGAACGGGUGAGUAACACGUGAGUAACCUGCCCUUGACUUUGGGAUAACUUCAGGAAACUGGGGCUAAUACCGGAUAGGAGCUCCUGCUGCAUGGUGGGGGUUGGAAAGUUUCGGCGGUUGGGGAUGGACUCGCGGCUUAUCAGCUUGUUGGUGGGGUAGUGGCUUACCAAGGCUUUGACGGGUAGCCGGCCUGAGAGGGUGACCGGCCACAUUGGGACUGAGAUACGGCCCAGACUCCUACGGGAGGCAGCAGUGGGGAAUAUUGCACAAUGGGCGGAAGCCUGAUGCAGCAACGCCGCGUGCGGGAUGACGGCCUUCGGGUUGUAAACCGCUUUCGACUGUGACGAAGCGUGAGUGACGGUAAUGGGUAAAGAAGCACCGGCUAACUACGUG